This 263-nucleotide ribosomal RNA is filed under the name Triaenophorus nodulosus. RNAcentral's name for it is "partial 18S ribosomal RNA". It matches the Rfam family "Eukaryotic small subunit ribosomal RNA", at positions 1505 to 1764 of the family's 1831-position model. The record is from RNAcentral. Lineage: Eukaryota; Metazoa; Platyhelminthes; Cestoda; Bothriocephalidea; Triaenophoridae.
GACGGUGGCAACGAGUCUGACCUUCUGGCCCGAAANNNUGGGGCAAACUGGUCAAUCACCGUCAUGACAGGGAUCGGGGCUUGGAAUUGUUCCCCGUGAACGAGGAAUUCCUAGUAAGUGCAAGUCAUAAGCUUGCGCUGAUUACGUCCCUGCCCUUUGUACACACCGCCCGUCGCUACUACCGAUUGAAUGGUUUAGUAAGGUCCUUGGAUUGGCGCCAUUGCAGCCGAAAGGCUCAGACGGUGCUGAGAAGACGACCAAAC